UACGUAGGGUGCAAGCGUUAAUCGGAAUUACUGGGCGUAAAGGGCGCGUAGGCGGUCGUGACAAGUCACUUGUGAAAUCUCCGGGCUUAACUCGGAACGGUCAAGUGAUACUGUCGGACUAGAGUACAGAAGGGGCAACUGGAAUUCUCGGUGUAGCGGUGAAAUGCGUAGAUAUUCGCAAGAACACCAGUGGCGAAGGCGGCUCACUGGCUCGGUACUGACGCUGAGGUGCGAAAGCGUGGGGAGCAAACAGG
RNAcentral lists this ribosomal RNA (254 nucleotides) under uncultured bacterium. RNAcentral's name for it is "partial 16S ribosomal RNA". It matches the Rfam family "Bacterial small subunit ribosomal RNA", at positions 524 to 776 of the family's 1533-position model. The record is from RNAcentral.